Planococcus citri (citrus mealybug) is the source of this 1119-nucleotide long non-coding RNA. RefSeq lists it as uncharacterized. The record is from RefSeq and is a predicted model, not a curated record. NCBI's taxonomy places the organism in Eukaryota, Metazoa, Arthropoda, Insecta, Hemiptera, Pseudococcidae. The transcript is spliced from 4 exons.
UGUUUGUUCGAGGUCUCGCAUGAUUUUAAAUAAUAGGUAGGUAUGGUUCAAACUAUAAAGUAAGCCCAAACCUAACCCACACAUUUACGAAUUAUUUGCUGUAGCCGAAUACACUCGUGUAAACCCAUACAUUAUUUGUUUUAUUUUACGGCUACAGUCUUACUCCAUGAUGCAAGGUGGAGUGUAGUCAUCUUGCUCCGGAGUGUAAUUAGAUAAGACCGUUACCACAAUCUAGUGUCUGCAUGGUUAAAGUCCGAUAAAAAUAAUUUAUUUUACAUAGUUUGUUUUGUGCCUAAUGAUUUUUUAUUCGAUUCGCGUUUUCAAUCGUUUUUGUUGAAUAUUUAAAAGGAAUCCAUUCUCAUCGCGACGAAGCCUUUCGCUUUUCAUAGAAAGUGACCAGGUUCAAUCAUAAAAUGACGAAAGAGUUUUCUUUACUUUUCUACCUGUUGGUAAUGGUGAAUUCGAAUUUGUGGCAAAACGAUACAACAAACCGAGAGAAACACCAGCUUAUGCCCCCAGUUUUAGAAUACGAACCAGAUAAUGAAGUUUACACCUAUUAUGUUGAUUCAACCAUAUUCCUCCCCUGUCUUGCCAAAGGGCAAGAAAGAUCACAGGAAAAAACGCCUUGGGUUUCUUGGUGGACUAAAAAUGGUGAAAAUAUUACUUCAAAGAACGUUUUGAUUGGUCAAUACUCCAAAACUGACCAUAAAUACGGCUUAAAAAUACCAAGCGCUCAGCGAUAUGAUGCUGGUCGUUAUCAAUGUUUUGUCUCGAAUGGAGUCGGUGUUACGAUGUCCAAUUUUGUUGAGGUCAGAUAUAUUGAAAUACCUCAAAAGAGUACUGAAAAACGGAGAGUAGGUGCCAUCGAAGGACAGCCAUUUAUUCUGAGCUGUGAACUUCCACAGGAGUUGGUGAACGAUGAAAACAGUUACUGGAUUCGAAAAGUAAGCACUAGAAAAUUCAUGUACCUGCUUAAUUCUUGUACAGUACACUUUGCCCACUUAAUGAUUUCGUUCAAGCUGAACGUGCAUAUCUAAUCUGCAAAUUGAUUAUCUGCAUAGGUACAAUUUCAUAUAUUAAAAAAAUUUGGCAUUAUUUUUUAAAACGAACAAAAAAAGG